AUUUGGGCCGCGCUGUUUGCUUCCUUGCAAAAAGUUCACCACAAGGCUUUGUGCCAGUUACAUCAGUACAAGGCUGAAAGCAACGAAAGGAUCACAUUUGAUCAGUUCUAACAUACCAAUCAUAAACUCCGCAGUCCGCCCUUUUGUCGGCCUUCAGCAGCUCCCACAUUCCGACAGCAACUACUUGACAAGCCACCAAUUUUUUUUCUCCUCAACAAAUGUAAUGUCUGGUGAGUCCACCCACAAGUGAACCUGAACACCCCUACAUUAAAUGUUCUGUGGUCCGAUCAUUCAUGUUUGCUGGCCAUGUGCUGGGAGAACAUACCACCUACAUCCAAGGAAAACUGUGCGAAUGCCGGGCGCGAAAAACGCAGGAUUCGAGAAAUCCAAGAUGGCGGCCACAAGUCAGUCUCGUGGUGCUACGGUACGAAAUGUGUGCUUUGACUCUGCUCGCUCCCUUAGUGCAACUGACUGACCUUCCAUGGUGAACUACGCACAUAUACAAAUCCAGCUGCAGUCAAGACCAAUAGACUCUCUCCUCCCUUCUCUGCCAACGAGUGGAACGCGCCACUCUAAUAAGGGUCGCCAGGUCAAAUCUUGUCUGACAUCAGGAGCGUUGCAAUCAGAAUGGGGACAUACCCACUGCAACAAUGAAAAGGCAAACUUUCAGGCUAUCUCCCUCCGCAUGUGAUCCAGCCAGCACACUACACGACAACAAAUGCCACCAUUAGAUCCAACGGAGACAUACAUUAUUUCCCAUGAUACACCAACACCUGCACUGGGCCUCAUGACCUCUGACCUCCCUUUACACUCGCUCAAUAACUUUGUAUCCCCACCCACAAUAAAACUGAUCUCCCCCCUCAGUCAUGAACUUGUGGUACAAUCCUCCCAGACAGAUCUACACGAACAUGGUGUGCAGGUGCACACCGGGCCAACCGACUAUACCGAGUCCUGCUGUAGUUGGCUGGGUAUGGGUGACUGUCUUUCACACAGGAGUUCCAUGAUGAAGCAGGCCUGUAUUUUAAAGGUGCACAAUGCUGAAAGGUCUGGUACCCCUGGCACUUGUCAAUGCCGCGUACGGAGGAACUACCCUGCAGUGUUUCUGCAGCUAAACUGCGCAGAUCAACUGGAUCACAGAUCAGUGGGAUUGACAUCUUUGAAAGUGAACUGGCGCAUGAGGCCAGCAGCAAAGGCGGAGAGACGCUAUUGGACUGGAAGAUACCUCGGACUGGAUCAACACCAGAUGAGAAGAGGCACAGGAAACAGACCUAUUGUGUCAAACUACAUGUACCUGUCGAUGCAAAUCACACAGGUAGCAAAUUAUAAAGACCAAAGAUGGAUUUGUAAGACCAAGAAGGUACGU
Molecule: long non-coding RNA, 1363 nt
Organism: Acanthaster planci (crown-of-thorns starfish)
Lineage: Eukaryota; Metazoa; Echinodermata; Asteroidea; Valvatida; Acanthasteridae
Source: RefSeq, a predicted model, not a curated record